RNAcentral lists this ribosomal RNA (378 nucleotides) under Bacillus thuringiensis. RNAcentral's name for it is "bacterial SSU rRNA". It matches the Rfam family "Bacterial small subunit ribosomal RNA", at positions 1010 to 1389 of the family's 1533-position model. Lineage: Bacteria; Bacillati; Bacillota; Bacilli; Caryophanales; Bacillaceae. The record is from RNAcentral.
GGCUUCUCCUUCGGGAGCAGAGUGACAGGUGGUGCAUGGUUGUCGUCAGCUCGUGUCGUGAGAUGUUGGGUUAAGUCCCGCAACGAGCGCAACCCUUGAUCUUAGUUGCCAUCAUUAAGUUGGGCACUCUAAGGUGACUGCCGGUGACAAACCGGAGGAAGGUGGGGAUGACGUCAAAUCAUCAUGCCCCUUAUGACCUGGGCUACACACGUGCUACAAUGGACGGUACAAAGAGCUGCAAGACCGCGAGGUGGAGCUAAUCUCAUAAAACCGUUCUCAGUUCGGAUUGUAGGCUGCAACUCGCCUACAUGAAGCUGGAAUCGCUAGUAAUCGCGGAUCAGCAUGCCGCGGUGAAUACGUUCCCGGGUCUUGUACACA